Liolophura sinensis is the source of this 3008-nucleotide RNA transcript. RefSeq lists it as uncharacterized. Lineage: Eukaryota; Metazoa; Mollusca; Polyplacophora; Chitonida; Chitonidae. The record is from RefSeq and is a predicted model, not a curated record. The transcript has 7 exons.
ACUACACGCAAUGCUUAAAACGAACCAGUGCUGAAAUCAGACACAUGCGAUCAGCUUUUUUUCGUCCAAAGAUGCCAGGCCCUGAUAUACGGCGGUUCUUCAUAACUAAUGAAGGUAGACACAGAUUCCUUGACUGCAUGAUGUACCGGUAUUUUGGGCUGGAUACCCCGUUCAUCUCCUGGUGUGUUCCUGAUCAACAGGGAGGAUCAGCUCAACACAUUCUUUACGUCCAUGAAGACCAGAUAUAUCCAGAUCAGGAAGGUCUGAGCAAGCGGAUGUGGAACUCACUGAGAGGGAGUAGUAUAUAUUCAACUCAUUUGCAUUUCUCCACACAAAUGUCACCAGGAGCAAGAGCCACAAAUCUUCCAAGCGUCUGCAGAUGGCCUUGGAAUCUCCCAGGACUUGACACCAAAUUGCUGAUAAAAAUUCUCAUUUCAAGUCUACCGGUUCUCUGAUCACCAUGAUGAAUUCAGGCGAUUUUCCUGGAUUUGCAUGCAGUUGUGGAACAAGAUAUUGGUCCAAGUCAGGUCUGUACAGACACAAGCAGGUGUGCGGAUCAAGAAGGAGAGAGAGGUGCCAUUUUUGUAAUAGUCAUUUCGAGAACCAAGUCAAGUUGUACAAGCAUUUUGAGAGAGACAACCCACUUGCCCUGUUCCGAAGGCCAGUAAAGCACCAAAGCACUUCAUCAAGCCCUUGGAUGCCACCUUGUUGGAUUCAGAAGUGAAGGUUUUAAGUCUCGGAAUCCCUCUUCUUGAUGAAAGUCCAUUAUCACAUGCACACCGGUUGUGAAGAUUGUGACCACAUCACCUCUUGUUGUGGCACCCCUUUCCCAGCCAGCUUCGCCAUUUAAGAUGAGGGCGGAAGUAGCAGACCUGUUUGGAGAGGUUAUGUUACCUGAAGAUGUCAAUCAGUCAUCAUCUGCCCCCGUGCCCUCCCUAUCAGCCCUGUUUGAUUCAAUCCCUGUUGAGUCAUGUCCUGUUUCUGCCUGUGUGCUGUCCCGUGUCUGUGCCCAAAACCACCACUGCGUCGUCAUCCAGUAUCACCACUGCGUCUUCAUCUAACGCCACCACCACUAAUAUCUCAUCUCCCAUCAGUGCCGUCCAGCUUCAUUUCUCGACUGGCACUCAGACCACACCGAGGUUUUUGUUCUAUCACAUCCAUAGUAUAACAACUAAAACGUAUCCAGAUGGAUGGGUUGUGAAACAAGAGCGUCUGCAGAUGGCCUUGGAAUCUGCCAGGGGAUGACACCAUGCUGGUAAGCAUUCUCAUUCCCUUUAGUUCCCUGUCAAACACAAGAGGAUGACAACCAGUACAGAAAACUACCUAGAUCCGCAUCGGGCAAGGGUAAGUCCAUCUUGGGCUCUGCAGCACAGGACGAUCCUCACACACUAUCACGUAAGGCAAAUAUUCUCAAUUAAGUGUUUACAAGGGUGUAAAAUGACUUUGAACAAUUUUCUAACUUUAUUUACCCCAGAAACGUAUUUUUAACUUAUUUUAACUAAAACAACUUAUAACAUUUAGAAAUAAAAGUUAUUUUCAGUGGCUGGACAUUAUUUUCUAAUUUUAAGUAUUUAAAUUCCAAUUUUACAUAAGAUUUAAUUCAAAAAUUUCCAUUAUUUAGUUAACACUGCAUAAUAUUUUUAUGUCUGCUGGAAAGGUCUUUAAUGAUAGCCAUAAUCCACAUCUAUAUUAAAGGUACCUAAUUGUGCAACCCUUUAUGUUGCACAAGUUAUGUUGUUAAUUGACCGUGCAGACCAGGUUGCGGAAGCCCACAAGAUGCCGUACCCAAGAGUCCGCAUGUGGAAGAAGUCUAGAAAUGUGUCAGUUAUUUGACCACCCAACUACAAAAAGUUCCAGAGGAAUCAUAGUUUGAAUUCUCCAUGGAAGCAAUGAAUCUUGUUCACCGCUACAGCUGACGUACACAACAACAGCACAACCAACAGCUACAAGGCUUGCAGCAGCAAUUACCAACUGAUCUGUCUGACCAGGCUCAUGUUCAACCCCAACUUAUGAUGCAGUACUAAUAUGGGAUGGUAAUCCCCAGCCCCCCUCUCCACCCUACAGACUCUCAUGCACCGUCACCCAAAUACCACUGAAUCAACUGAUGCAGCCCAGCUUUGCUCAACUGCAGCCAUCCCAAGGAUUUUGUGCAAACUGCCACGGUUAUCCCAACAUCAAUGCCCCUUAAGUGCAGCAAGAAGCCCCAUCAGGAUGAAGAUGUACCCAAUCUUCAGAAUCACAGGGGUCGGGCGGGAAAGACACCAUCACCUAGUUCUUUGACCGAUUUAAUGAAUAUGUUCCGUGAUUAGAAUCUUAAAAUCACUUAAAAACGGUAAUAGUUGGCUUCAAGCCAACAUGAAGACCUUUUGGAAGAAAUCUUGACAUUUAUAUGAACACUUGAAAUCUUGCCAGUAUGAACACUGGAAAUCUGGCCAUGAUGAACACAGGAAAUCUUGCCAUUGUGAACACUUGAAAUCUUACUAUUGUGAGCACUUGAAAUCUUGCCAUUAUUAACACUUGAAAUCUAGACAUUUUUAGAGAACUUUAAUCUUAAUCUGGUCAAAAAACUUUGUAAUAAUUGUGAAUACCUGUAAAUAUGUUAAAAUAGUUUGCAUUACUGUUCAAAGAGAGAGAUUCUUUUCAUAGAUUCUUUUUUUUAAAGACUUCAUAUGUAAUAUGGAAGUGACCUCCGAUACUGAUAUUGAUACAGAAGCCUAAAUACUUGCAAUUUAUGUGAAAUUUAGAAAAGUUUUGUAUAUUACACAACAUGUUUUACUGUACAAUAUUGUAGGUUGUAAACUGUACUUUACAUCUUGUUUCUACAAUGCAAUACACUACCAAGGGGGACUUAUUUGUUGGUGAAAUAGAUUGAAGUAAAGAAAUAAAAUUACAUUUGCAGUUAAAACGGAACACAUUAAAAUAAAAAUAGAAAAAUAUUAAACAAAUUAAAAUAGAACCAAAUUAAGAAUAUAACCUAAAAAAAACUUAAUUAGAUAAAUUAAGAAAAU